GACGAACGCUGGCGGCGUGCUUAACACAUGCGAGUCGAGCGGACGUUGAGAGCUUGCUCUCAAAGUUAGCGGCGGACGGGUGAGUAACACGUGGGUAAUCUGCCCUCAAGUGGGGAAUAACACAAAGAAAUUUGUGCUAAUACCGCACAAAGUAUGCUAAUCGCAUGAUAGGCAUAAAAAAGAUUAAUUGCUUGAGAAUGAGCCCGCGGCCCAUUAGCUAGUUGGUGAGGUAAAGGCCCACCAAGGCCACGAUGGGUAGCCGACCUGAGAGGGUGAUCGGCCACGUUGGAACUGAGACACGGUCCACACUCCUACGGGAGGCAGCAGUGGGGAAUAUUGCACAAUGGGGGAAGCCCUGAUGCAGCAACGCCGCGUGAGCGACGAAGGCCUUCGGGUUGUAAAGCUCUGUCUUCGCUGACGAACUAAUGACAGUAAGCGAGGAGGAAGCCACGGCUAACUACGUGCCAGCAGCCGCGGUAAUACGUAGGUGGCAAGCGUUGUCCGGAAUUAUUGGGGGUAAAGGGCGCGUAUGCGGUCUUUUAAGUGGGAUGUGAAAUACCUAGGCUUAACUUAGGAAUGGCAUUCCAAACUGGAAGACUAGAGUGCAGGAGAGGAAAGUGGAAUUCCCAGUGUAUCGGUGAAAUGCGUAUAGAUUGGGAGGAACACCAGUGGCGAAUGCGACUUUCUGGACUGUAACUGACGCUGAGGCACGAAAGCGUGGGGAGCAUACAGGAUUAGAUACCCUGGUAGUCCACGCUGUAAACGAUGAGUACUAGGUGUGGGGGGCGAAGUCUUCUGUG
RNAcentral lists this ribosomal RNA (800 nucleotides) under uncultured bacterium. RNAcentral describes it as "bacterial SSU rRNA". It matches the Rfam family "Bacterial small subunit ribosomal RNA", at positions 28 to 845 of the family's 1533-position model. The record is from RNAcentral.